Long non-coding RNA from Syngnathus acus (greater pipefish), 103 nucleotides. RefSeq lists it as uncharacterized. The transcript has 3 exons. Lineage: Eukaryota; Metazoa; Chordata; Actinopteri; Syngnathiformes; Syngnathidae. The record is from RefSeq and is a predicted model, not a curated record.
AUGUAUUGGUUGUGAAGUCCUGUUGUUGGUUUUGUUAGUGAGUUAUGUCAGUUUACCGAGUCUGUAUUUUGAGUUCCGCCAAUAAACCCUGGUCCAAGCUGCA